UACGUAGGGUGCAAGCGUUGUCCGGAAUUACUGGGCGUAAAGAGCUCGUAGGUGGUUUGUCGCGUUGUUCGUGAAAACUCACAGCUCAACUGUGGGCGUGCGGGCGAUACGGGCAGACUUGAGUACUGCAGGGGAGACCGGAAUUCCUGGUGUAGCGGUGGAAUGCGCAGAUAUCAGGAGGAACACCGGUGGCGAAGGCGGGUCUCUGGGCAGUAACUGACGCUGAGGAGCGAAAGCGUGGGGAGCGAACAGG
This 253-nucleotide ribosomal RNA is filed under the name uncultured bacterium. RNAcentral describes it as "partial 16S ribosomal RNA". It matches the Rfam family "Bacterial small subunit ribosomal RNA", at positions 524 to 776 of the family's 1533-position model. The record is from RNAcentral.